AAGCUUUUUUUUGGCAGGUCUUGUAAGGAGAAGCGUUCUUCAUAUGCACCACAGAAUGGAGUUCGAUAUGAUGGGAUUUACAGGAUAGAAAAAUGUUGGCGCAAAGUUGGAAUUCAGGGAUUUAAAGUUUGUCGGAAUCUUUUUGUACGCUGUGAUAAUGAACCUGCUCCGUGGACAAGGUUAGCUGAGUUAUGAAAACAUGGGGGAUUAACAUUAGGGGCCCCUGAAAGUGUGGGAAAAGGUAAUUUAGUUGAGUCAGGACUGUUUGGGAGAACUUUGGUUGAUAUGGCUGUUGAUCGUGGAUGCUAUAUAGACCAGAGUCAAAGUCUUAACGUCCAUAUGGACCAACCCAAUUUCGGAAAGCUUACUUCUCUCCACUUCUAUGCUUGGUCCAGGUCAACCUUGGGCUUUUGUGCAAUGGAUGGAAAAGCUUAGCAUAGAGGAAGAGUUAAGCUUUUUUUUUGGCAGGUCUUGUAAGGAGAAGCGUUCUUCAUAUGCACCACAGAAUGGAGUUCGAUAUGAUGGGAUUUACAGGAUAGAAAAAUGUUGGCGCAAAGUUGGAAUUCAGGGAUUUAAAGUUUGUCGGAAUCUUUUUGUACGCUGUGAUAAUGAACCUGCUCCGUGGACAAGGUUAGCUGAGUUAUGAAAACAUGGGGGAUUAACAUUAGGGGCCCCUGAAAGUGUGGUAUGGUUAACAUUCUUUCCAAGCCAGUUUCUCUCCAUUGUUUAUUUCAUGCAACUCAGACCCAUGAUAAGUUGAUUAUUCAUUGUUGAAGCUACAUUAUAUUAAAUAGAUUAAAUAGAAAAAGAAAGAUCUGCUUUUGUAAAUUUGAUAUGUUGUGAUUCGUAUAUGAUGCAUUGAAGUGUGAAUUUGAUAUAUUGUGGCAAGCUCCAUAGAUCAAAAGCAUACAUUUGUGGCAAUCCAUCAUUUAACUGUUA
This is a long non-coding RNA of Ipomoea triloba (trilobed morning glory), 939 nucleotides long. RefSeq lists it as uncharacterized. NCBI's taxonomy places the organism in Eukaryota, Viridiplantae, Streptophyta, Magnoliopsida, Solanales, Convolvulaceae. The transcript has 9 exons. The record is from RefSeq and is a predicted model, not a curated record.